UGGGGAAUAUUGCACAAUGGGGGAAAGCCUGAUGCAGCAACGCCGCGUGAGUGAAGAAGGUCUUCGGAUUGUAAAGCUCUGUCUUUGGGACGAUAAUGACGGUACCAGAAGAGGAAGCCACGGCUAACUACGUGCCAGCAGCCGCGGUAAUACGUAGGUGGCAAGCGUUGUCCGGAUUUACUGGGCGUAAAGGGUGCGCAGGCGGACAUUUAAGUGAGAUGUGAAAGACCCGGGCUUAACUUGGGGGGUGCAUUUCAAACUGGAUAUCUGGAGUGCAGGAGAGGAAAGUGGAAUUCCUAGUGUAGCGGUGAAAUGCGUAGAGAUUAGGAAGAACACCAGUGGCGAAGGCGGUUCUCUGGACUGUAACUGACGCUGAGGCACGAAAGCGUGGGGAGCAAACAGGAUUAGAUACCCUGGUAGUCCACGCCGUAAACGAUGAGUACUAGGUGUAGGAGGUAUC
This 460-nucleotide ribosomal RNA is filed under the name uncultured bacterium. RNAcentral describes it as "bacterial SSU rRNA". It matches the Rfam family "Bacterial small subunit ribosomal RNA", at positions 355 to 833 of the family's 1533-position model. The record is from RNAcentral.